CCCUUAGAUGUCCUGGGCUGCACGCGCGCUACACUGAUGUGUCCAGUAAGCACCUAACCUAUUCCGAGAGGAGCGGGUAACCUUAGCAAAGCACAUCGUGAUGGGGAUAGAUUAUUGCAAUUAUUAGUCUUGAACGAGGAAUUCCUAGUAAGCACAAGUCAUCAGCUUGUGUUGAUUACGUCCCUGCCCUUUGUACACACCGCCCGUCGCUCCUACCGAUUGAAUGUUCCGGUGAGCUCUUCGGACUGCGCGGUCUGCAGUUUCUGCGUUCCGUGCGGAAAGUUGUGCAAAUCUUAACAUUUAGAGGAAGGAGAAGUCGUAACA
Molecule: ribosomal RNA, 324 nt
Filed under: uncultured eukaryote
Lineage: Eukaryota
Description: partial 18S ribosomal RNA
Rfam family: Eukaryotic small subunit ribosomal RNA
Source: RNAcentral